Long non-coding RNA from Papaver somniferum (opium poppy), 2677 nucleotides. RefSeq lists it as uncharacterized. The transcript has 9 exons. The record is from RefSeq and is a predicted model, not a curated record. Lineage: Eukaryota; Viridiplantae; Streptophyta; Magnoliopsida; Ranunculales; Papaveraceae.
AAAAAAAAAAAAAAACCUCUAACAUUCAUCACCACCUGCGGCUCUCUUCCCCGUCACCUUCAUUCUCUGUGAGAGGUUUAACAGAUGAUCCGUGAUUAUUCGGCGGUAAACAAUUCGUCAUCCUAACAAUGAUGAACCAUUUGUGCGCUUUUAGAUAUGUGUUUGUGCAGGCAUGACAAAAAUCAAGAAGUGCAGUCAAAUUAAUCAGAAUUCUUCACAGAGAGGUUUUUUUUUGGGUUAGGUCAGAGAAGAAGAAAGCAAUUUAGGGUUUAUUAAGAGAGAGUGAGAAACAAGAUGUCUGAAGGGUUACUUCCUUUUUGAAUUCUUAGAUAUGGGUUUGUUUGAUUUUUAGCAUAGUCAUGGUUAUGAUUUUUUAUUUCAUAAGUUUCAUAAGAAUUGUAUUAUAACAGGCGUCAAAAGGAUGCCAGAAACGCUAGGUCCAAUUAUGUUCAGUUUUGGAUCUCUCUGAUUUUUGAAGUUCAACGUUGUUUUCUGUUUCGUAGGAUUGGUUGAUGGAAAUUGAGAAACCCUAAGAUUAUCUUGAAAUCAGGAUUUGAUCUCCCUUAUUGGGUUACUGGUUCAGGUCUGCUUCUGUAAUUUUAGGUGACAAAUCUUGUUAUGAGAUGACAUUUAGCAAUAAUCAUAGACUGCACCACAAAAGUUCGACAAGCCAAGAUUCAGUUGGAAUCCAAUAGCAGAGGGAUUUACCCACAUUCCAAAAAAUUGCAUUUUUACCUUCAAUCAAAAGGCCAAGAUGCCCGAUCACCCUUCCCGGCUGUCUGAUUAAAAACAAUAAAAAAGAUGGCCGUGAACCUGAGUAAAUGAGUUGAAGGAAACAGGUUCUCACAUUGAUGUUAUUCCUUACUAUGGAAAGUAUGAUGGAGUUGUUGGGGUGUUGUGCGAGCAAAUGAGGCGAUUAAUGUUUUGAGAAGGUCUGGCUUCAAAGCAUUAAAGUAAAAGGUCACUGGAGGAGCCCACACGUUUUGGGAUAAGCUGUUCGUGAAGGUACCGUGAGCACUCCAUAUCACACUCAGGCAUCACAUACAUGCCCAAGAAAAGUGGCUCUCCGCAAUACCCUUUAUCAGCGGGAGAUUUAGUGAUGUCUCUAUACAUAUCCCUAUUCUUGAUAAUAUCCAUACAUAUUCGGUUGGGGAAGAGCUUUCCAAAGGAUUGUAGCUUGCAGUGGCUCUCCAAAAUACCCUAUAUCAAUUCCCAGACGGCAUCUCUAUGAGACACUUUCAACAUUUCCAAACGUGGUGGGAGGUUGAGAGUGAAUCCUAAACCCUCAGGUUAUCAAAUGCAACGAUGCUGGUGUGAGAAAUAUGGAAGCCAGAGAAAAAUGUAGCCUCAAACAGGUGGUUAAUGUUUGUAACUAGAGAGAGUUGCUUAUUUUUUUGGGAUGAAAUGCCUGACAAUCCACAUUUAUGGUCUACUGUUUAUGUUCAGGUACCUAAUAUCUUACUGCUUGGUUAUUGUAGUCAUCCUUGAUCUUUGGAUCGGUCCACUCAUCGGUGGACUCUAGGCCAACGGCCAUUUGUUAAUUCUCUCGAUCUCGAGUCUUGAAAUAAGUUAGUUUUUGUGAGCAGUUUACAGAAUUUGAAGAAAGCGUCUUUGCAGUGGCUUAAGCUCUGCCCAUUUGCUGUAAUAGUACGAAUCAAAUCCUACAACUAUCUAAUUUAGGAUAGUUAGAAAAACCUUUCCAUCUAAAUCCCCGAGUCAUGUUAAUACGAAUUCCCACUUUCAUAGUACUGAUAACAGAAUAUGGAUCAAGACAUCUCAAGACAGUAACGGAUAUGCGAAGGAUUUCUACUUUAAGAAUCUCAAUUUUAAUAUUGCUUCCAACCCAUAAUAAUUGAUCAAUAUUACUGCGCAGUAGCAGAUUGCAUACAAAGGGUCUUUGCUAAGUCAAGUUAUAGAAACAAUUUCUCCCCCCUCACUCUGGGCGAGGCGAAGCCGAGCCACACCAAAUCCAAAAUGCAUCGCGACAGGAUGUGGCAAACCUGUUUGGAACCUAAUCGAAAAUGCAUCGGUACAUGACGGGGCGAGGCGAAGACGAGCACCCCAAAUCAAAAAUGCAACGGCGCGAGGCAAAGCCCCGCGACACCUAAUAAAAAAUGAAAAAUAUGGAGAGAAAAAGAGAUGCACGGGCACAAAAUCUAGUUGUACUUAAAAAGUCCUCCUGAUUAAAUCAUCCAAUAAUCGUUUUCAGUUGUAGAUGAGCUGAAAUAAAUCAUGUUCUUCCUGUGGUAGAUAAAUCGUCUAGCGGUUAAUGUCGGUGUGGGACUUGCCCAUAAGUACACACUCUAUGCGAUAAGAAAAUGUGGGUUUAAUGAUAUCGGUGUCCGUCUUUUUUCCUCGUUUCUUCAUCUCAGUCCAAUCUUCUGCUUUUAGUCCCUUUUACACUAUGAAAACUAAUCAUUCUUUUUUCCCCCCGUAGCAGUUGGGUUCGUUCAAAAGUGAUGUGACCAUAUUGUAUGGGUGUCCGACUACAUUUCCUUGUUAAGAGGUUCAACAAAUUAAUUUGGAUUCGACAUCUUUAUUCAUAGAUAUGGAUAGAAACCCCGAACCUAAAUCCGGUUGUGGCUCUAAAUUUGCCCAAGAAAAGCUGCAAUUGUCUUCAUUCAUAAAUGAAGGAAGGUAUUAGAAAACGACAUGAUUCGGGAGCAACUUAGUGUAU